RNAcentral lists this ribosomal RNA (159 nucleotides) under Chaenomeles cathayensis (Chinese flowering quince). RNAcentral's name for it is "5.8S ribosomal RNA". It matches the Rfam family "5.8S ribosomal RNA". Rfam says of the family: 5.8S ribosomal RNA (5.8S rRNA) is a component of the large subunit of the eukaryotic ribosome. It is transcribed by RNA polymerase I as part of the 45S precursor that also contains 18S and 28S rRNA. Functionally, it is thought that 5.8S rRNA may be involved in ribosome translocation. The record is from RNAcentral. Lineage: Eukaryota; Viridiplantae; Streptophyta; Magnoliopsida; Rosales; Rosaceae.
GACUCUCGGCAACGGAUAUCUCGGCUCUCGCAUCGAUGAAGAACGUAGCGAAAUGCGAUACUUGGUGUGAAUUGCAGAAUCCCGUGAACCAUCGAGUCUUUGAACGCAAGUUGCGCCCGAAGCCUUCGGGCCGAGGGCACGCCUGCCUGGGCGUCACAC